GGUGGUGUCACGUGAUACUGAAGUAUAUUAUCGUGGACUUAGCAUAUUAAUAUUCUUUUUAGAGGGGACGUAGGACAGACAACAUGUGUAUAUAUUGACGGAGCGGCGUAUUAACUGUUCAAUUUAUUCUUCAAUAGCUCGCGUAUCAUACAAUACAUGUAACUUAUCGUGUACAAUUUAAUUACAUGUUUAUCGAUUGAUUUCAGCUAAUGUGUAUAUUUUAGCAGGUGUGUCAUUCACGGAUAUGUACUUUAACGCAAGUGCAGAAAUGUCAGGGCACCACUGGCAACAUUCACACAAAGUUUCAUAAGGCUGGCUCUUAUAACAAAAGAUUUAAAAUUUUGAAAUUUUUUCACAUUUUUGCAGUUUCCAUGGUAACGGCAGCCAUUUUUUACCAGUCUUAUGUCUCUUGCACAUCUUAACAUGGCAGUUCAUAUUAUGGUAUUGUUCCAUCGACAUGGGUCUGGCCGAUUCCGAGAAAUAGCGUGGACAAAAUGUGUGGAAGAAUAAAAAUAAUAAUAAAAAGAAAAAAAAGAAACGUAGAAUAACAAUAUGUCACCCCAACUCCGUUGAGGGUGCCAUAACUAGAUUUGUAAUUGCUAGCAAUAACGGAUGGCACCCUUCCCCUAUUGCCAGGUGAGCGGCGGCCAUUUAGAAAAUUCCAAACUCAAAAGUCAAGUCUACAUAAGCUAGGCAACAUUUGUUAUAAGUUUCCUUAAAUUUGAAGCAUUUUGAAGUUUUUCAUAUUUUUGCUGUUUCCAUGGUAACGGCGGCCAUUUUGAAUAUUCCAAAGUCAAACCCCUGCUGCAAUUUUUUGCCCUCCAUAAUAUCAUAUACCAUUUAAUGUCUCUAGAAUAAAUUUAACAUUGAUGUUCUGGAAUGUUCUGUGAAAAUUCAAAGUUUUGACCUUUUUGCAUUGUUUCCAAGGUAACAACAGAUAUUUUGGAAAUUCCAACGCCAAAUUCCACAUCUUCCAAUGUUGCUCAUCGUUACUGUGAAGUUUCCUGAAGUUUGGAGCAUUUUGAGAAUUUCGAAAUUUUUGGUGUAGUUUCCAUGGCAACAUAGUAGUUCCAAUGAUCACCAAAAUCAUCCAACACCUGUAUAUAGUGGGCACCUACAUUGUAUUAAAAUAUAAUGAUUCUGAGAUAAAGCAUAUCCAAACAGUUCACCAAAAAAAAAACUGGAUUUUUUCACAUUUGUUCUGUUUCCAUGGUAACGGUAGCCAUCUUGAACCAUUCCAUGCUUCCUGCAACUCUGCACUGGGGUCCUUACUAUAGUAGAGUUCCAUCAACAUUGGUCCAUUGGAUUUCGAGAAAUCACCUGGACAAAAUUUGUUGCAAGAAAAAUAAUAAUAAUAAUAACUAGAUUUGUAAUUGCUAGCAAUAACGGAUGGCACCCUUCCCCUAUUGCCAGGUGAGCGGCGGCCAUUUAGAAAAUUCCAAACUCAAAAGUCAAGUCUACAUAAGCUAGGCAACAUUUGUUAUAAGUUUCCUUAAAUUUGAAGCAUUUUGAAGUUUUUCAUAUUUUUGCUGUUUCCAUGGUAACGGCGGCCAUUUUGAAUAUUCCAAAGUCAAACCCAUGCUGCAUUUUUUGCC
This 1595-nucleotide long non-coding RNA is filed under the name Mytilus galloprovincialis (Mediterranean mussel). The record is from RNAcentral. Lineage: Eukaryota; Metazoa; Mollusca; Bivalvia; Mytilida; Mytilidae.